GUAAACAGCAAUAAUGUUCAGGAAAGUAAGAUCUACAAAUAAGUCAAACAUGACCAAAAUUGUCAGUUGACCCCUUAAGGAGUAAUGGCCAACCAACCAAGAUGGCCACCAUGGCUAAAAAUAGUACAUAGGUGUGAAAUGUAGAUUUUGGCUUAUAUCUCUGAAACCAAAGCAUUUAGAGCAGAUCUGAUGUGGUGUAAAAUUGUCUAUUAGGUCGAGACCUAUCUGCCCUGAAAUUUUCAGACAAAUCGGACAACCAGUUGUUGGGUUACUGCCACCGAAUUAGUAAUUUUAAGGAAAUUUUGCAGAUUUUGGUUAUUAUCUUGAAUGUUAUUAUAGAUAGAGAUAUAGGGUAAACAGCAAUAAUGUUCAGCAAAAUAAGAUCUACAAACCCCUUAAGGAGUUAUUGCCCUUUAUAGUCAAUUUUUAACAAUUUUCAUAAAUUUUUGUAAAUGUUUAGUAAAUAUUUUCAACUGUAAUUACUGGGCCAA
RNAcentral lists this long non-coding RNA (491 nucleotides) under Mytilus galloprovincialis (Mediterranean mussel). Lineage: Eukaryota; Metazoa; Mollusca; Bivalvia; Mytilida; Mytilidae. The record is from RNAcentral.